Molecule: ribosomal RNA, 513 nt
Filed under: uncultured bacterium
Lineage: Bacteria
Description: partial 16S ribosomal RNA
Rfam family: Bacterial small subunit ribosomal RNA
Source: RNAcentral
GGCGAACGCUGGCGGCAUGCCUAAUACAUGCAAGUCGAGCGAACAGAUGAAGUGCUUGCACUUCUGACGUUAGCGGCGAACGGGUGAGUAACACGUAAGGAAUCUACCUAUAAGCGGGGGAUAACAUUCGGAAACGGGUGCUAAUACCGCAUAAUAUCUUCUUCCGCAUGGAAGAAGAUUGAAAGACGGCUCUGCUGUCACUUAUAGAUGACCUUGCGGUGCAUUAGUUAGUUGGGGGGGUAACGGCCUACCAAGACGAUGGUGCAUAGCCGACCUGAGAGGGUGAUCGGCCACAUUGGGACUGGGACACGGCACAAACUCCUACGGGAGGCAGCAGUAGGGAACCUUCCGCAAUGGGCGAAAGCCUGACGGAGCAAUGCCGCGUGAGUGAAGAAGGCCUUCGGGUCGUAAAACUCUGUUAUAAGAGAAGAACAAAUUGUAGAGUAACUGCUACAGUCUUGACGGUAUCUUAUCAGAAAGCCACGGCUAACUACGUGCCAGCCGCCGCCGUAA